GGCCCGUUGGUCAAGCGGUUAAGACACCGCCCUUUCACGGCGGUAACACGGGUUCGAGUCCCGUACGGGUCAUCA
This 75-nucleotide transfer RNA is filed under the name Enterococcus hirae. RNAcentral describes it as "tRNA-Glu". It matches the Rfam family "tRNA". Rfam says of the family: Transfer RNA (tRNA) molecules are approximately 80 nucleotides in length. Their secondary structure includes four short double-helical elements and three loops (D, anti-codon, and T loops). RNAcentral also lists the same sequence under 18 other names. Lineage: Bacteria; Bacillati; Bacillota; Bacilli; Lactobacillales; Enterococcaceae. The record is from RNAcentral.